RNAcentral lists this ribosomal RNA (392 nucleotides) under uncultured bacterium. RNAcentral describes it as "partial 16S ribosomal RNA". It matches the Rfam family "Bacterial small subunit ribosomal RNA", at positions 523 to 918 of the family's 1533-position model. The record is from RNAcentral.
AUACGGAGGAUCCGAGCGUUAUCCGGAUUUAUUGGGUUUAAAGGGUGCGCAGGCGGCCAUUUAAGUCAGCGGUUAAAUCGUGGGGCUCAACCCCAUUCUGCCGUUGAUACUGGGUGGCUUGAUUGCAGUCGAGGUUGGCGGAAUUCGUUGUGUAGCGGUGAAAUGCAUAGAUAUGACGAAGAACACCGAUUGCGUAGGCAGCUGACCAGACCGCAAAUGACGCUCAUGCACGAAAGUGCGGGGAUCGAACAGGAUUAGAUACCCUGGUAGUCCGCACAGUAAACGAUGAAUACUUGUUUUCGGCGAUAUAAUGUCGGAGGCAAAGCGAAAGCGAUAAGUAUUCCACCUGGGGAGUACGCCGGCAACGGUGAAACUUAAAGGAAUUGACGGGG